RNAcentral lists this long non-coding RNA (311 nucleotides) under Sinocyclocheilus grahami. RNAcentral's name for it is "lncRNA (ENSSGRG00000023605.1)". Lineage: Eukaryota; Metazoa; Chordata; Actinopteri; Cypriniformes; Cyprinidae. The record is from RNAcentral.
CGGUGGUCAAGCGGGCCACCAGCCUGUGGGUUGUCCUGCUGUUGGCUCUAGAAGAAAGCCAUUUGACCUCUCUGAGGGUGACCGAGAAUAUUCGGCUUAGUGUGUUUGACUCAAUUGUCAUCUACAUGGACAAUGAGACCAACUUUGACAAAAAGCGUGUGCUUUUGCAGUGCUUUGGGAAAGUUCUGACCAGUCUAAUGCAAACAGGAAGAGAUGUGCCCACUAACUUUUUCCUGAUCAAGGAGUAUUUCCGUAUUCCUCUAUCUCAUUUGAGAUCAGUGCUCAGUGCAGCAGACAGCAUAAUUGUGAGG